RNAcentral lists this ribosomal RNA (1521 nucleotides) under Neisseria gonorrhoeae. RNAcentral describes it as "bacterial SSU rRNA". It matches the Rfam family "Bacterial small subunit ribosomal RNA". Lineage: Bacteria; Pseudomonadati; Pseudomonadota; Betaproteobacteria; Neisseriales; Neisseriaceae. RNAcentral also lists the same sequence under 2 other names. The record is from RNAcentral.
AGAGUUUGAUCCUGGCUCAGAUUGAACGCUGGCGGCAUGCUUUACACAUGCAAGUCGGACGGCAGCACAGGGAAGCUUGCUUCUCGGGUGGCGAGUGGCGAACGGGUGAGUAACAUAUCGGAACGUACCGGGUAGCGGGGGAUAACUGAUCGAAAGAUCAGCUAAUACCGCAUACGUCUUGAGAGGGAAAGCAGGGGACCUUCGGGCCUUGCGCUAUCCGAGCGGCCGAUAUCUGAUUAGCUGGUUGGCGGGGUAAAGGCCCACCAAGGCGACGAUCAGUAGCGGGUCUGAGAGGAUGAUCCGCCACACUGGGACUGAGACACGGCCCAGACUCCUACGGGAGGCAGCAGUGGGGAAUUUUGGACAAUGGGCGCAAGCCUGAUCCAGCCAUGCCGCGUGUCUGAAGAAGGCCUUCGGGUUGUAAAGGACUUUUGUCAGGGAAGAAAAGGCUGUUGCCAAUAUCGGCGGCCGAUGACGGUACCUGAAGAAUAAGCACCGGCUAACUACGUGCCAGCAGCCGCGGUAAUACGUAGGGUGCGAGCGUUAAUCGGAAUUACUGGGCGUAAAGCGGGCGCAGACGGUUACUUAAGCAGGAUGUGAAAUCCCCGGGCUCAACCCGGGAACUGCGUUCUGAACUGGGUGACUCGAGUGUGUCAGAGGGAGGUGGAAUUCCACGUGUAGCAGUGAAAUGCGUAGAGAUGUGGAGGAAUACCGAUGGCGAAGGCAGCCUCCUGGGAUAACACUGACGUUCAUGUCCGAAAGCGUGGGUAGCAAACAGGAUUAGAUACCCUGGUAGUCCACGCCCUAAACGAUGUCAAUUAGCUGUUGGGCAACUUGAUUGCUUGGUAGCGUAGCUAACGCGUGAAAUUGACCGCCUGGGGAGUACGGUCGCAAGAUUAAAACUCAAAGGAAUUGACGGGGACCCGCACAAGCGGUGGAUGAUGUGGAUUAAUUCGAUGCAACGCGAAGAACCUUACCUGGUUUUGACAUGUGCGGAAUCCUCCGGAGACGGAGGAGUGCCUUCGGGAGCCGUAACACAGGUGCUGCAUGGCUGUCGUCAGCUCGUGUCGUGAGAUGUUGGGUUAAGUCCCGCAACGAGCGCAACCCUUGUCAUUAGUUGCCAUCAUUCGGUUGGGCACUCUAAUGAGACUGCCGGUGACAAGCCGGAGGAAGGUGGGGAUGACGUCAAGUCCUCAUGGCCCUUAUGACCAGGGCUUCACACGUCAUACAAUGGUCGGUACAGAGGGUAGCCAAGCCGCGAGGCGGAGCCAAUCUCACAAAACCGAUCGUAGUCCGGAUUGCACUCUGCAACUCGAGUGCAUGAAGUCGGAAUCGCUAGUAAUCGCAGGUCAGCAUACUGCGGUGAAUACGUUCCCGGGUCUUGUACACACCGCCCGUCACACCAUGGGAGUGGGGGAUACCAGAAGUAGGUAGGGUAACCGCAAGGAGUCCGCUUACCACGGUAUGCUUCAUGACUGGGGUGAAGUCGUAACAAGGUAGCCGUAGGGGAACCUGCGGCUG